CUACGGGGGGCAGCAGUGGGGAAUAUUGGGCAAUGGGCGCAAGCCUGACCCAGCAACGCCGCGUGAGGGAAGAAGGUUUUCGGAUUGUAAACCUCUGUCCUUGGGGACGAAGAAGUGACGGUACCCAAGGAGGAAGCUCCGGCUAACUACGUGCCAGCAGCCGCGGUAAUACGUAGGGAGCAAGCGUUGUCCGGAAUUACUGGGCGUAAAGGGUGCGUAGGCGGCAUAUUAAGUCAGGUGUGAAAUACUCGGGCUCAACCCGGGGGCUGCAUUUGAAACUGAUAUGCUUGAGUGUGAGAGAGGAAAGUGGAAGUCCUAGUGUAGCGGUGGAAUGCAUAGAUAUUAGGAGGAACACCAGUGGCGAAGGCGACUUUAUGGCUCAUAACUGACGCUGAGGCACGAAAGCGUGGGGAGCAAACAGGAUUAGAUACCCUUGUACUC
This 441-nucleotide ribosomal RNA is filed under the name uncultured bacterium. RNAcentral's name for it is "partial 16S ribosomal RNA". It matches the Rfam family "Bacterial small subunit ribosomal RNA", at positions 339 to 795 of the family's 1533-position model. The record is from RNAcentral.